CCUACGGGAGGCAGCAGUAGGGAAUCUUCCACAAUGGGCGCAAGCCUGAUGCAGCAACGCCGCGUGAGUGAAGAAGGUCUUCGGAUCGUAAAACCCUGUUGUUAGAGAAGAAAGCGCGUGAGAGUAACUGUUCACGUUUCGACGGUAUCUACCCAGAAAGCCACGGCUAACUACGUGCCAGCAGCCGCGGUAAUACGUAGGUGGCAAGCGUUAUCCGGAUUUAUUGGGCGUAAAGGGCACGCAGGCGGUCUGUUAAGUCUGAUGUGAAAGCCUUGGGCUUAACCGGAGUAUUGCAUUGGACACUGGGAGACUAGAGUGCAGUAGAGGAGAGUGGAACUCCAUGUGUAGCGGUGAAAUGCGUAGAGAUAUGGAGGAACACCAGUGGCGAAGGCGGCUCUCUGGUCUGUAACUGACGCUGAGGUUCGAAAGCGUGGGUAGCAAACAGGAUUAGAUACCCGAGUAGUC
RNAcentral lists this ribosomal RNA (465 nucleotides) under uncultured bacterium. RNAcentral describes it as "partial 16S ribosomal RNA". It matches the Rfam family "Bacterial small subunit ribosomal RNA", at positions 338 to 795 of the family's 1533-position model. The record is from RNAcentral.